GACGAACGCUGGCGGCGUGCCUAACACAUGCAAGUCGAACGGAAAGGCCCUGCUUUUGUGGGCUGCUCUAUUGGCGAACGGGUGAGUUACACGUGAGUACCCUGCCCUUCACUUUCGGAUAUCUUCAGGCAACUGGGGUUAUUACCGGCUAGGAGCUCCCGCUGCUUGGUGGGCGUGGGAUCGUUUCGGCGGUUGGGGAUGGACUGGCGGCUUAUCAGCUUGUUCGUUGGGUAGUGGCAUACCAAGGCCUUGCAGGGUAGCCGACCUGGGAGGGGGACCGGCCACAAUAGGACUGGGAUACGGCCCAGACUCGAACGGGAGGCAACGGUGGAGAAGAUUACACAAUGGGCGGGAGGCUGAUGCAACAACGCCGCGUGCGGGAAGACGGGCUGCGGGUAGUGAACCGCAGUCGCCUGAGACGAAGCGUUAGUGACGGUAAUGGGUGAAGAAGCACCGGCUAACUACGUG
Molecule: ribosomal RNA, 468 nt
Filed under: uncultured bacterium
Lineage: Bacteria
Description: partial 16S ribosomal RNA
Rfam family: Bacterial small subunit ribosomal RNA
Source: RNAcentral